CCUACGGGAGGCAGCAGUGGGGAAUAUUGGGCAAUGGGCACAAGCCUGACCCAGCAACGCCGCGUGAAGGAAGAAGGCCCUCGGGUUGUAAACUUCUUUUAUCAAGGACGAAACAAAUGACGGUACUUGAUGAAUAAGCCACGGCUAACUACGUGCCAGCAGCCGCGGUAAUACGUAGGGAGCAAGCGUUAUCCGGAUUUAUUGGGUGUAAAGGGUGCGUAGACGGGAAGUCAAGUUGGUUGUGAAAUCCCUCGGCUUAACUGAGGAACUGCAACCAAAACUAACUUUCUUGAGUGCUGGAGAGGAAAGUGGAAUUCCUAGUGUAGCGGUGAAAUGCGUAGAUAUUAGGAGGAACACCAGUGGCGAAGGCGACUUUCUGGACAGUAACUGACGUUGAGGCACGAAAGUGUGGGGAGCAAACAGGAUUAGAUACCCGGGUAGUC
RNAcentral lists this ribosomal RNA (443 nucleotides) under uncultured bacterium. RNAcentral's name for it is "partial 16S ribosomal RNA". It matches the Rfam family "Bacterial small subunit ribosomal RNA", at positions 338 to 795 of the family's 1533-position model. The record is from RNAcentral.